RNAcentral lists this ribosomal RNA (376 nucleotides) under uncultured bacterium. Its description in RNAcentral is "bacterial SSU rRNA". It matches the Rfam family "Bacterial small subunit ribosomal RNA", at positions 28 to 407 of the family's 1533-position model. The record is from RNAcentral.
GACGAACGCUGGCGGCGUGCUUAACACAUGCAAGUCGAGCGGUAAGGCCCUUUCGGGGGUACACGAGCGGCGAACGGGUGAGUAACACGUGGGUGACCUGCCCUCAGCUCUGGGAUAAGCCUGGGAAACCGGUCUAAUACUGGAUAUGACUCCAUGACGCAUGUUGUGGGUGGAAAGCCUUGUGCGGCUGAGGAUGGGCCCGCGGCCUAUCAGCUUGUUGGUGGGGUGAUGGCCUACCAAGGCGACGACGGGUAGCCGGCCUGAGAGGGCGACCGGCCACACUGGGACUGAGACACGGCCCAGACUCCUACGGGAGGCAGCAGUGGGGAAUCUUGCGCAAUGGGCGAAAGCCUGACGCAGCGACGCCGCGUGAGGG